RNAcentral lists this ribosomal RNA (253 nucleotides) under uncultured bacterium. RNAcentral's name for it is "partial 16S ribosomal RNA". It matches the Rfam family "Bacterial small subunit ribosomal RNA", at positions 524 to 776 of the family's 1533-position model. The record is from RNAcentral.
UACGUGUGGACCAAGCGUUGUUCGGAAUUACUGGGCUUAAAGGGUGCGUAGGCGGUUUUUUAAGUCAGGGGUGAAAUCCGAUGGCCCAACCAUCGAACUGCCUCUGAUACUGAGGAACUUGAGUGUGUGAGGGGUGAGCGGAACGUGUGGUGUAGCGGUGAAAUGCGCAGAUAUCACACGGAAGGCCAGAGGCGAAGGCGGCUCACUGGCACACAACUGACGCUGAGGCACGAAAGCGUGGGGAGCAAACAGG